RNAcentral lists this ribosomal RNA (347 nucleotides) under Escherichia coli. Its description in RNAcentral is "partial 23S ribosomal RNA". It matches the Rfam family "Bacterial large subunit ribosomal RNA", at positions 1 to 384 of the family's 2925-position model. The record is from RNAcentral. Lineage: Bacteria; Pseudomonadati; Pseudomonadota; Gammaproteobacteria; Enterobacterales; Enterobacteriaceae.
GGUUAAGCGACUAAGCGUACACGGUGGAUGCCCUGGCAGUCAGAGGCGAUGAAGGACGUGCUAAUCUGCGAUAAGCGUCGGUAAGGUGAUAUGAACCGUUAUAACCGGCGAUUUCCGAAUGGGGAAACCCAGUGUGUUUCGACACACUAUCAUUAACUGAAUCCAUAGGUUAAUGAGGCGAACCGGGGGAACUGAAACAUCUAAGUACCCCGAGGAAAAGAAAUCAACCGAGAUUCCCCCAGUAGCGGCGAGCGAACGGGGAGGAGCCCAGAGCCUGAAUCAGUGUGUGUGUUAGUGGAAGCGUCUGGAAAGGCGCGCGAUACAGGGUGACAGCCCCGUACACAAAA